UCCCUGGUGGUCCAGUGGCUAAGACUCCGUGCUCCAAAUGCAGGCGACCCAGGUUCAAUCCCUGGCUAGGGAA
This is a non-coding RNA of Bos taurus (domestic cattle), 73 nucleotides long. The record is from Rfam. Lineage: Eukaryota; Metazoa; Chordata; Mammalia; Artiodactyla; Bovidae.